GGGGACGUUACGGAUUCGACAGGGAUGUCUCGGCUUAGGUUGCGCGUCGGAGGUCUCGGCUUCGUCACCAACGGAAGUUAUAUAAUAACUGGCAAAACAAACAAUAACUUAGCUUUCGCAGCUUAGUCUGACGAAACUGCCUAUCUACCCUAUCGCCCAUGUAGCGUAGUUUAGGCUCACUCUCAGUGGGAUACGAUGUUAGGCGCCACCUUAGUCUAACAGAAGAGAUUAUAAGGUUAGCGUGCAGGACGCCUGUUUAUUGGCAUAAUGUUACGUGAACUGUAAAUAAAUAAACUACACGCGUAGAAGCUUAAGUUCUGGAGUUUCUGGACGCGGGUUCGACUCCCGCCGUCUCCAUAU
RNAcentral lists this transfer-messenger RNA (360 nucleotides) under Caryophanaceae. Its description in RNAcentral is "Kurthia sp018065935 Standard tmRNA". It matches the Rfam family "transfer-messenger RNA". Rfam says of the family: Bacterial tmRNA, also known as 10Sa RNA or SsrA, is named for its dual tRNA and mRNA-like properties. RNAcentral also lists the same sequence under 1 other name. Lineage: Bacteria; Bacillati; Bacillota; Bacilli; Caryophanales. The record is from RNAcentral.